CCUCUCCCCACGGUCUCCCUCUCAUGCGGAGCCGCAGCUGGACUGUACUGCUGCCAUCUCGGCUCACUGCAACCUCCCUGCCUGAUUCUCCUGCCUCAGCCUGCCCAGUGCCUGCGAUUGCAGGCUCGCGCCGCCACACCUGACUGGUUUUGGUGGAGAUGGGGUUUCGCUGUGUUGGCCGGGCCGGUCUCCAGCCCCUAACCGCGAGUGAUCCGCCAACCUCGACCUCCCGAGGUGCCGGGAUUGCAGACGGAGUCUCGUUCACUCAGUGCUCAAUGGUGCCCAGGCUGGAGUGCAGUGGCGUGAUCUCGGCUCACUACAACCUACACCUCCCAGCCGCCUGCCUUGGCCUCCCAAAGUGCCAAGAUUGCAGCCUCUGCCCGGCUGCCACCCCGUCUGGGAAGUGAGGAGCGUCUCUGCCUGGCCACCCAUCGUCUGGGAUGUGAGGAGCCCCUCUGCCUGGCUGCCCAGUCUGGAAAGUGAGGAGCGUCUCCGCCCGGCCGCCAUCCCAUCUAGGAAGUGAGGAGCGCCUCUUCCCAGCCGCCAUCACAUCUAGGAAGUGAGGAGCAUCUCUGCCCGGCCGCCCAUCCUCUGAGAUGUGGGGAGCGCCUCUGCCCCGCCGCCCCAUCUGGGAUGUGAGGAGCGCCUCUGCCCGGCCGAGACCCCGUCUGGGAGGUGAGGAGCAUCUCUGCCCGGCCGCCCCGUCUGAGAAGUGAGGAGACCCUCUGCCGGGCAACCACCCCGUCUGAGAAGUGAGGAGCCCCUCCGCCCGGCAGCUGCCCCGUCUGAGAAGUGAGGAGCCUCUCCGCCCGGCAGCCACCCCAUCUGGGAAGUGAGGAGCGUCUCCGCCCGGCAGCCACCCCGUCCGGGAGGGAGGUGGGGGGGGGUCAGCCCCCCGCCCGGCCAGCCGCCCCGUCCGGGAGGGAGGUGGGGGGGUCAGCCCCCCGCCUGGCCAGCCGCCCCGUCCGGGAGGGAGGUGGGGGGGUGAGCCCUCCGCCCGGCCAGCCGCCCCGUCUGGGAGGUGAGGGGCGCCUCUGCCCGGCCGCCCCUACUGGGAAGUGAGGAGCCCCUCUGCCCGGCCAGCCGCCCCGUCCGGGAGGGAGGUGGGGGGGUCGGCCCCCCGCCGGGCCAGCCGCCCCGUCCGGGAGGGAGGUGGGGGGGUCAGCCCUCCGCCCGGCCAGCCGCCCCGUCCGGGAGGGAGGUGGGGAUGUCGGCCCCCCGCCCGGCCAGCCGCCCCGUCCGGGAGGGAGGUGGGGGGGUCAGCCCCCCGCCCGGCCAGCCGCCCCGUCCGGGAGGGAGGUGGGGGGGGGUCAGCCCCCCCGCCCGGCCAGCCGCCCUGUCCAGGAGGUGAGGGGCGCCUCUGCCCGGCCGCCCCUACUGGGAAGUGAGGAGCCCCUCUGCCCGGCCAGCCGCCCUGUCCGGGAGGGAGGUGGGGGGAUCGGCCCCCCGCCCGGCCAGCCGCCCCGUCCGGGAGGGAG
RNAcentral lists this long non-coding RNA (1478 nucleotides) under Homo sapiens (human). RNAcentral's name for it is "HSALNT0328779". Lineage: Eukaryota; Metazoa; Chordata; Mammalia; Primates; Hominidae. The record is from RNAcentral.